RNAcentral lists this ribosomal RNA (484 nucleotides) under uncultured Actinomycetes bacterium. Its description in RNAcentral is "bacterial SSU rRNA". It matches the Rfam family "Bacterial small subunit ribosomal RNA", at positions 74 to 572 of the family's 1533-position model. Lineage: Bacteria; Bacillati; Actinomycetota; Actinomycetes. The record is from RNAcentral.
GUUUCUUCGGAAAUGGAUUAGCGGCGAACGGGUGAGGAACACGUGAAGAAUCUGCCCUCCACUUUGGGAUAACACCGGGAAACCGGUGCUAAUACCGAAUAUUGAAACAUAAGUGGCAUCACUGAGUUUUUAAAGAAUUUCGGUGGAGGAUGACUUCGCGGCCUAUCAGCUAGUUGGUGAGGUAAUGGCUCACCAAGGCAACGACGGGUAGCCGGCCUGAGAGGGCGACCGGCCACACUGGGACUGAGACACGGCCCAGACUCCUACGGGAGGCAGCAGUGGGGAAUAUUGGGCAAUGGAGGAAACUCUGACCCAGCGACGCCGCGUGCGGGAUGAAGGCCUUCGGGUUGUAAACCGCUUUCAGUAGGGAAGAAGCGAAAGUGACGGUACCUACAAAAGAAGCACCGGCUAACUAUGUGCCAGCAGCCGCGGUAAUACAUAGGGUGCAAGCGUUGUCCGGAAUUAUUGGGCGUAAAGAGCUCGU